Molecule: long non-coding RNA, 432 nt
Organism: Lagopus leucura (white-tailed ptarmigan)
Lineage: Eukaryota; Metazoa; Chordata; Aves; Galliformes; Phasianidae
Exons: 3
Source: RefSeq, a predicted model, not a curated record
UGCUCUGCUGGUGUUUUGUGAGUGAGCCCAGGAUGGGCACAUUUGUCUGGUUUUAUUAGGCACAGCUUUUAACUGCAAAGUUGUGUGAACUUGCUGCUGGACAGAACCUGAAGCUCUUUGACAUUGUGCAAGUGUCUUCUCCUACAGAGGGACUUAGGCUGAGAUGACUCGAAGGAAAUAGUACCAUCUGGAUGGAUGUGAGGAGUUACUUGCAAUACUGAGAUACCAUUCUAGAGUUCAAUCUGGAUACUGUAAGCCAUAACAUUUUUGCAGUGUAGAGGCAAUUACAGCAACUGGCCUCUCAUGAGAGAAGAAUUUACAACCUAUUAGUGUUUUCUUAAUUGCUGAUACAAGUUCCCCUGUCUCUCUUCAUUCUUCUGUCUGUGUGCUUGUACUUAUUUGAAAUCCACAUUUUUUGCCCCAGGUUGUUGA